This 253-nucleotide ribosomal RNA is filed under the name uncultured bacterium. RNAcentral's name for it is "partial 16S ribosomal RNA". It matches the Rfam family "Bacterial small subunit ribosomal RNA", at positions 524 to 776 of the family's 1533-position model. The record is from RNAcentral.
GACGGAGGAUGCAAGCGUUAUCCGGAAUGAUUGGGCGUAAAGCGUCCGCAGGUGGCAGUUCAAGUCUGCUGUCAAAGACCGGGGCUUAACUUCGGAAAGGCAGUGGAAACUGAACAGCUAGAGUAUGGUAGGGGCAGAGGGAAUUCCUGGUGUAGCGGUGAAAUGCGUAGAGAUCAGGAAGAGCAUCGGUGGCGAAGGCGCUCUGCUGGACCAUAACUGACACUCAGGGACGAAAGCUAGGGGAGCGAAUGGG